Molecule: ribosomal RNA, 357 nt
Filed under: uncultured bacterium
Lineage: Bacteria
Description: partial 16S ribosomal RNA
Rfam family: Bacterial small subunit ribosomal RNA
Source: RNAcentral
CCUACGGGAGGCAGCAGUGAGGAAUAUUGGUCAAUGGCCGGGAGGCUGAACCAGCCAAGUCGCGUGAGGGAAUACGGCCCUACGGGUUGUAAACCUCUGUUGUCAGGGAGCAAGGUGCAGGUCGGGACCUGCUGUGAGAGUACCUGACGAAAAAGCAUCGGCUAACUCCGUGCCAGCAGCCGCUGUAAUACGGGGGAUGCGAGCGUUAUCCGGAUUUAUUGGGUUUAAAGGGUGCGCAGUCGGAGGCCCCAGUCAGCGUUAAAAGCGCGGGGCUCAACCCCGCUGCGACGUUGAAACUGUGUCCCUUGAGUGCGCGAAGGGUAGGCGGAAUGCGUGGUGUAGCGGUGAAAUGCAUAG